UUUGUAGAAUGAACCGGCGAGUUACGAUUUGAUGCAAGGUUAAGCAGUAAAUGUGGAGCCGUAGCGAAAGCGAGUCUGAAUAGGGCGUUUAGUAUUUGGUCGUAGACCCGAAACCAGGUGAUCUACCCUUGGUCAGGUUGAAGUUCAGGUAACACUGAAUGGAGGACCGAACCGACUUACGUUGAAAAGUGAGCGGAUGAACUGAGGGUAGCGGAGAAAUUCCAAUCGAACCUGGAGAUAGCUGGUUCUCUCCGAAAUAGCUUUAGGGCUAGCCUCAAGUGAUGAUUAUUGGAGGUAGAGCACUGUUUGGACGAGGGGCCCCUCUCGGGUUACCGAAUUCAGACAAACUCCGAAUGCCAAUUAAUUUAACUUGGGAGUCAGAACAUGGGUGAUAAGGUCCGUGUUCGAAAGGGAAACAGCCCAGACCACCAGCUAAGGUCCCAAAAUAUAUGUUAAGUGGAAAAGGAUGUGGCGUUGCCCAGACAACUAGGAUGUUGGCUUAGAAGCAGCCAUCAUUUAAAGAGUGCGUAAUAGCUCACUAGUCGAGUGACACUGCGCCGAAAAUGUACCGGGGCUAAACAUAUUACCGAAGCUGUGGAUUGUCCUUUGGACAAUGGUAGGAGAGCGUUCUAAGGGCGUUGAAGCAUGAUCGUAAGGACAUGUGGAGCGCUUAGAAGUGAGAAUGCCGGUGUGAGUAGCGAAAGACGGGUGAGAAUCCCGUCCACCGAUUGACUAAGGUUUCCAGAGGAAGGCUCGUCCGCUCUGGGUUAGUCGGGUCCUAAGCUGAGGCCGACAGGCGUAGGCGAUGGAUAACAGGUUGAUAUUCCUGUACCACCUAUAAUCGUUUUAAUCGAUGGGGGGACGCAGUAGGAUAGGCGAAGCGUGCGAUUGGAUUGCACGUCUAAGCAGUAAGGCUGAGUAUUAGGCAAAUCCGGUACUCGUUAAGGCUGAGCUGUGAUGGGGAGAAGACAUUGUGUCUUCGAGUCGUUGAUUUCACACUGCCGAGAAAAGCCUCUAGAUAGAAAAUAGGUGCCCGUACCGCAAACCGACACAGGUAGUCAAGAUGAGAAUUCUAAGGUGAGCGAGCGAACUCUCGUUAAGGAACUCGGCAAAAUGACCCCGUAACUUCGGGAGAAGGGGUGCUCUUUAGGGUUAACGCCCAGAAGAGCCGCAGUGAAUAGGCCCAAGCGACUGUUUAUCAAAAACACAGGUCUCUGCUAAACCGUAAGGUGAUGUAUAGGGGCUGACGCCUGCCCGGUGCUGGAAGGUUAAGAGGAGUGGUUAGCUUCUGCGAAGCUACGAAUCGAAGCCCCAGUAAACGGCGGCCGUAACUAUAACGGUCCUAAGGUAGCGAAAUUCCUUGUCGGGUAAGUUCCGACCCGCACGAAAGGCGUAACGAUUUGGGCACUGUCUCAACGAGAGACUCGGUGAAAUCAUAGUACCUGUGAAGAUGCAGGUUACCCGCGACAGGACGGAAAGACCCCGUGGAGCUUUACUGUAGCCUGAUAUUGAAAUUCGGCACAGCUUGUACAGGAUAGGUAGGAGCCUUUGAAACGUGAGCGCUAGCUUACGUGGAGGCGCUGGUGGGAUACUACCCUAGCUGUGUUGGCUUUCUAACCCGCACCACUUAUCGUGGUGGGAGACAGUGUCAGGCGGGCAGUUUGACUGGGGCGGUCGCCUCCUAAAAGGUAACGGAGGCGCUCAAAGGUUCCCUCAGAAUGGUUGGAAAUCAUUCAUAGAGUGUAAAGGCAUAAGGGAGCUUGACUGCGAGACCUACAAGUCGAGCAGGGUCGAAAGACGGACUUAGUGAUCCGGUGGUUCCGCAUGGAAGGGCCAUCGCUCAACGGAUAAAAGCUACCCCGGGGAUAACAGGCUUAUCUCCCCCAAGAGUUCACAUCGACGGGGAGGUUUGGCACCUCGAUGUCGGCUCAUCGCAUCCUGGGGCUGUAGUCGGUCCCAAGGGUUGGGCUGUUCGCCCAUUAAAGCGGUACGCGAGCUGGGUUCAGAACGUCGU
Molecule: ribosomal RNA, 2014 nt
Filed under: Staphylococcus aureus
Lineage: Bacteria; Bacillati; Bacillota; Bacilli; Caryophanales; Staphylococcaceae
Description: partial 23S ribosomal RNA
Rfam family: Bacterial large subunit ribosomal RNA
Source: RNAcentral